GUCCUAGCUGUAAACGGUGCGCGUUUGCUGUAAAAGGAAUCGACCCCUUUUGUGGCGAAGCUAACGCGUUAAACGCGCCGCCUGGGGAGUACGGUCGCAAGAUUAAAACUCAAAGAAAUUGACGGGGCCUGCACAAGCGGUGGAGUAUGUGGCUCAAUUCGAUGCAACGCGAAGAACCUUACCUGGCCUUGACAUGCACGUGGUAGAAGCCUGAAAGGGUGACGACCCCGCAAGGGGAGCGUGCACAGGUGCUGCAUGGCUGUCGU
RNAcentral lists this ribosomal RNA (266 nucleotides) under uncultured bacterium. Its description in RNAcentral is "partial 16S ribosomal RNA". It matches the Rfam family "Bacterial small subunit ribosomal RNA", at positions 793 to 1055 of the family's 1533-position model. The record is from RNAcentral.